This is a small nuclear RNA of Hyaena hyaena (striped hyena), 109 nucleotides long. Lineage: Eukaryota; Metazoa; Chordata; Mammalia; Carnivora; Hyaenidae. The record is from RefSeq and is a predicted model, not a curated record.
GAGCUCGCUUUGGCAACACAUAUACUAAAAUUGGAACAAUACAGAAAAGAUAAGCAUGGUACCAGUGCAAGGACUGACACAAGAAAUUCAUGAGGUAUUCCAUAUUUUU